This is a long non-coding RNA of Ornithodoros turicata, 501 nucleotides long. RefSeq lists it as uncharacterized. NCBI's taxonomy places the organism in Eukaryota, Metazoa, Arthropoda, Arachnida, Ixodida, Argasidae. The transcript is spliced from 3 exons. The record is from RefSeq and is a predicted model, not a curated record.
UGCGUGAGCGUUUUGCUCCCGUCUGCAAGAACACUUCAGCAUGCAGUUCCAAUGUUUCAAACCACAAUUUUCCGAAAGGCGAAGGAGAAAUCUAUUGACUGCAACAAUCGGUUACAACUCCGACUGGGAGCCACCUUCAAAAGCAGCGAUUUGAUCUGUUCAUCUGGCUCAUACGAAUGUUACGGAAGCAAUGCGCAACUUGUUUCACAAGAAGCCGAAGAUGUCUCGUCCGGGAUGCUGUGCCAACCUUAUCUGCAGCAGGAGAUUGCAGGGGCAGGACUAGGCAGCAGAUAAAGGCAUUCUGGCACCACCGAAAAGCUUGCACUCCACGUCUCAACUAUCACCGUCUGGGUUUCAAGCUGAAGGCUGUCACCAGUGCCAACCAGACGCCCCUUCAAAGUUCAUCUGUUUUUGUUGACGGAACAGUGACACCUGGUAAACCUGUCACGCAGAUGCCCUACCCCUUGGUAUGCAUAGUUCAAGAUUGUACUGAAACAAUCC